AAGCACAAGGGAAUUAAGCGCUUCAAGAGAGUAAUAGGGCACUUUCGGAGCAAGUCCUCUGCUCCCCUGAUAGUUGUCGCUCUUUAAAAAGAAAAAACAAAGUUGCAAACGAGGAACUUGCGCUACCAUGGAUGUAAUUGGGAAGUGCUUGAUAGUGUAAGCUAUACGAACCGACUGGCAACAGGCAAAGAUAUUGAAGAUGAGAUUUCAACGAGCGUUUCAAUAUAAGAAUAUUGGAUGUGCUAAACUAGAAGCUGAGAUCAAUACUAGAAAGCCUCCCGCUGCAUAAUAUUAAGUUUUUUUUCCCCAUGGAAGACAAUACUCUUGAGCAUCUUCAAUUAUUUAUAGAGGAAAGCUGUUGUAUCGUGUAGAAGUAGACAUGAGUAGUGAUGUUGCACACUGUUCAUGUGCAAUUGCCUAGUUCAGUUUCUGAUGCUUCUUGUUUGUGAUGGAUUCUGCAGACCCGUGUUCUCUAGAUUUUUUUUAUCUUUCACAAUCAGGAUAUACAAAUGUUCAAUUAUUAAUGAUCCCAGUGCUUUCAUUGAGAGCAGUCGGCAGCUAAACGAGGUUAUAUUGUGCUAGCUUGUAUCGUAUGACAGCUAUAACCAAGGGAUGACCAGAGGUAGGAUAUGUAGUUCUGAAACAAAAGAUCUCCAGGAUUUGAUUAUUGAACAUGGCAAGGAAACUAUUCUUAGAGAACAGCUAUAAGCGUAUCACCAUAGAAAGAACUAUAUAGAAUUAGUUAGGAAGGGAGAGCAAGAGUGCUUGAGUAAAACCUGCUCGUGAAUUGAUGUAUGAAAGAGGCAAUGCUCAUAACUAAGUCUUGAUGAAACAUGUACAGAGCUCCCAAUUUUGAAA
This is a long non-coding RNA of Populus euphratica (Euphrates poplar), 858 nucleotides long. RefSeq lists it as uncharacterized. The transcript is spliced from 2 exons. The record is from RefSeq and is a predicted model, not a curated record. Lineage: Eukaryota; Viridiplantae; Streptophyta; Magnoliopsida; Malpighiales; Salicaceae.